AUCCCUUGACAUCCUGCGAACUUUCUAGAGAUAGAUUGGUGCCUUCGGGAACGCAGUGACAGGUGCUGCAUGGCUGUCGUCAGCUCGUGUCGUGAGAUGUUGGGUUAAGUCCCGCAACGAGCGCAACCCUUAUCAUUAGUUGCUAACAUUUAGUUGAGAACUCUAAUGAGACUGCCGGUGAUAAACCGGAGGAAGGCGGGGACGACGUCAAGUCAUCAUGGCCCUUAUGGGAUGGGCUACACACGUGCUACAAUGGGGGGUACAAAGAGCAGCAAUACGGUGACGUGGAGCGAAUCUCAAAAAUGCCUCCCAGUUCGGAUUGUAGUCUGCAACUCGACUACAUGAAGUUGGAAUCGCUAGUAAUCGUAGAUCAGCUAUGCUACGGUGAAUACGUUCCCGGGUCU
This 404-nucleotide ribosomal RNA is filed under the name uncultured bacterium. RNAcentral describes it as "bacterial SSU rRNA". It matches the Rfam family "Bacterial small subunit ribosomal RNA", at positions 976 to 1381 of the family's 1533-position model. The record is from RNAcentral.